UUGCACUUGUAUCAUAGGCAUAUCUUAGUAUGGUAAGUUUGGCCUGAGCCAGGUGCAUAAAACGAAAGCUGUUAAAUCAACAGCAGCCAGACAACUGCAAAGAUGGAUCCACUGGUGAAUGGCUUUUGUUGCUACUUGCCUACUGAUUCCAUCUCAUAUUU
Molecule: small nucleolar RNA, 161 nt
Organism: Rhododendron vialii
Lineage: Eukaryota; Viridiplantae; Streptophyta; Magnoliopsida; Ericales; Ericaceae
Product: small nucleolar RNA snoR143
Exons: 1
Source: RefSeq, a predicted model, not a curated record